AUGAAGGGGGCGCCAUCUGAUGAGGGGGAGAUCUUGAGGUGCGAGGAAGUGCUGAUGUUGGAGGCUACGGAGCGCAGCCUCGAGCUUGAGUGGUUGGAGACGAGGGAGCGUCAGGUCGCCGAAGCGGAAGAUGCUGCCAGCGCACGCGAGGCCAGGACCCAGAAGGAAGUUGACUGUAGAGUGGCUGAGGCUCGUGCUGAUCUUGCCAACAGGUACGAUCUGAAGCUGAAGCUUGUGGAGGCCGAAGCUGAGGGCAGGACCGCCGCCCUCAGGUCAGGAUUGGUAGAGGCGGAGCAGCGCGGGAAGGCCGCGGCAACCGCCUUGGUCCCCAUGCAAGCCGAGCUGGCCUCCGCCCGUGCUGAGCUACUCCCGCUUCAGCAGCGGGUUACCAGCACCGAGUCCUUCGCGCAGCAGAGCAAAGAAGCAGUACUCCGCCGACAGACGCUACUGCACGAGCAUGUUCCCAUGCUUCGGGACCUCAGGACAAGGGCCAAUCAGGCGCUAGGCACCAUCCGCGAUGAACACGCCCCUCACCCUCACGCUGAGGAUUACGCCAGCCAUCUUCGCUUCUUCACCGACGUCGUGAUGUGCCUCGAGAACCGGGCUGAGAGGGCUUGCGAGCUUGUGGAUGAAAAGAGCCGAGGCCUCCUCAGGCGCGCAUUCUCCCGCGUCUUCAGCCAUCUCCUCAACAUCAAUCCCGACUUUAACUUUGACGCCGCCAUUGCCCUGGUGCCCGAGGUCAUCCAGGACAACCUAGCAUGCUGGGUGGACGACAAUGUGGAUGCUCUGGUUAGAGCCUUUGCUUCUGAUGAUGACGCAGUGGUGGUCGUGGCGGAUGAGGGCGACGUGGUUGACAACGGUGAAGAUAGCGCCAGCGACAGCGCCAGCAGCAUGUCCGGGAGCGAUUCGGAAGACGCGGCGAGCGACAUGAACGACUGA
RNAcentral lists this ribosomal RNA (939 nucleotides) under Triticum aestivum (bread wheat). Its description in RNAcentral is "partial small subunit ribosomal RNA". Lineage: Eukaryota; Viridiplantae; Streptophyta; Magnoliopsida; Poales; Poaceae. The record is from RNAcentral.